GCUGAAGACGGAAGUCCCUGGCUAUCUGUGUUCUGCCCAAACAUCAGCACAGUGGCAUCUGGCAAGGCUCCUUCCAGAGAAAACACAGAGGUGAACGUUGCAGAAGGCAUUGAGAAAUCCUGCUCCCAACAGGAAGAAAACAAACCGACUUCCAGAGCCAGCAGAAUAGACUUCUUCUGAGUCAGGUGGCCUACUUCCUGAACUACCAGCUGAAGACCUACAGAGAUCGAAAAGAUCACGGUGAAGAACAGAGAGGCAGAGACAGCAAAAAUAAACUUCUUAUGAGUCAAGUGGCCUACUACCUGGGCUGCCGGCUGAAGACGGAAGUCCCUGGCUUUCUGUGUUCUUCCCGAAACAUCAGC
Molecule: non-coding RNA, 362 nt
Organism: Callithrix jacchus (white-tufted-ear marmoset)
Lineage: Eukaryota; Metazoa; Chordata; Mammalia; Primates; Cebidae
Source: RefSeq, a predicted model, not a curated record